UAGGGAAUCUUCGGCAAUGGGGGCAACCCUGACCGAGCAACGCCGCGUGAGUGAAGAAGGUUUUCGGAUCGUAAAGCUCUGUUGUAAGAGAAGAACGUGUGUGAGAGUGGAAAGUUCACACAGUGACGGUAACUUACCAGAAAGGGACGGCUAACUACGUGCCAGCAGCCGCGGUAAUACGUAGGUCCCGAGCGUUGUCCGGAUUUAUUGGGCGUAAAGCGAGCGCAGGCGGUUUAAUAAGUCUGAAGUUAAAGGCAGUGGCUUAACCCUUGUGCGCUUUGGAAACUGUUAAACUUGAGUGCAGAAGGGGAGAGUGGAAUUCCAAGUGUAGCGGUGAAAUGCGUAGAGAUAUGGAGGAGCACCGGUGGCGAAAGCGGCUCUCUGGUCUGUAACUGACGCUGAGGCUCGAAAGCGUGGGGAGCAAACAGG
RNAcentral lists this ribosomal RNA (429 nucleotides) under bacterium. RNAcentral's name for it is "partial 16S ribosomal RNA". It matches the Rfam family "Bacterial small subunit ribosomal RNA", at positions 355 to 776 of the family's 1533-position model. The record is from RNAcentral.